RNAcentral lists this ribosomal RNA (484 nucleotides) under uncultured bacterium. RNAcentral describes it as "partial 16S ribosomal RNA". It matches the Rfam family "Bacterial small subunit ribosomal RNA", at positions 30 to 507 of the family's 1533-position model. The record is from RNAcentral.
AUUGAACGCUGGCGGCAUGCCUUACACAUGCAAGUCGAACGGCAGCACGGACUUCGGUCUGGUGGCGAGUGGCGAACGGGUGAGUAAUGUAUCGGAACGUACCUUUCAGUGGGGGAUAACGUAGCGAAAGUUACGCUAAUACCGCAUAUUCUGUGAGCAGGCAAGCAGGGGAUCGAAAGACCUUGCGCUGAUUGAGCGGCCGAUAUCAGAUUAGCUAGUUGGUGGGGUAAAGGCCUACCAAGGCGACGAUCUGUAGCGGGUCUGAGAGGAUGAUCCGCCACACUGGAACUGAGACACGGUCCAGACUCCUACGGGAGGCAGCAGUGGGGAAUGUUGGACAAUGGGGGCAACCCUGAUCCAGCCAUGCCGCGUGAGUGAAGAAGGCCUUCGGGUUGUAAAGCUCUUUCGGCCGGGAAGAAAUCGCAUAGGCUAAUACCCUGUGUGGAUGACGGUACCGGAAUAAGAAGCACCGGCUAACUACGUG